This 187-nucleotide ribosomal RNA is filed under the name Staphylococcus epidermidis. RNAcentral's name for it is "partial 16S ribosomal RNA". It matches the Rfam family "Bacterial small subunit ribosomal RNA", at positions 1354 to 1533 of the family's 1533-position model. The record is from RNAcentral. Lineage: Bacteria; Bacillati; Bacillota; Bacilli; Caryophanales; Staphylococcaceae.
AUGCUACGGUGAAUACGUUCCCGGGUCUUGUACACACCGCCCGUCACACCACGAGAGUUUGUAACACCCGAAGCCGGUGGAGUAACCAUUUGGAGCUAGCCGUCGAAGGUGGGACAAAUGAUUGGGGUGAAGUCGUAACAAGGUAGCCGUAUCGGAAGGUGCGGCUGGAUCACCUCCUUUCUAAGGA